RNAcentral lists this long non-coding RNA (215 nucleotides) under Lathyrus oleraceus (garden pea). RNAcentral describes it as "Pisum sativum (pea) long non-coding RNA (PSAT_LNC001373)". Lineage: Eukaryota; Viridiplantae; Streptophyta; Magnoliopsida; Fabales; Fabaceae. The record is from RNAcentral.
AAUAAAUGGAAGCACUUGAAUAAUAUUAUAUUCAUUAUUAACAUUACUCAUUUAAUAAUUAAAUAUAAAAUUUUAUAUUUAUUAUUAGACAUUAAAAGUAAAAAAUAUUAAAAUACAUGUCCAUUUAUCUCAAACAUUUCAUUUCAACCUACUUUACUAUUUCAAAUUAAAAAAAUUUAGGCUCUAAAUUAUAAUACUUAGAAAAUGGCCCCUCU